GGGGACGUAGCUCAGACUGGGACGGCAGAAGAAAUCUAUUUUAGGAUUCUUAAGCUGCAGGAAAGAGCACUAGACUGAAGAUCUAGUUGUCCCGGGUUCAAAUCCCGGCGUCCCCA
This 116-nucleotide transfer RNA is filed under the name Nanobdellota archaeon. RNAcentral's name for it is "tRNA-Phe". It matches the Rfam family "tRNA". From Rfam's summary of the family: Transfer RNA (tRNA) molecules are approximately 80 nucleotides in length. Lineage: Archaea; Nanobdellati; Nanobdellota. RNAcentral also lists the same sequence under 1 other name. The record is from RNAcentral.